CCUACGGGCGGCAGCAGUGGGGAAUAUUGGGCAAUGGGCGCAAACCUGACGCAGCAACGCCGCGUGAAGGAAGAAGGCUUUCGGGUUGUAAACUUCUGUUCUCAGGGACGAAGCAAGUGACGGUACCUGAGGAAUAAGCUACGGCUAACUACGUGCCAGCAGCCGCGGUAAUACGUAGGAGGCAAGCGUUAUCCGGAUUUACUGGGUGGAAAGGGCGGGUAGGCGGGGCCGCAAGUCAGAGGUGAAAACCACGGGCUCAACCUGUGGCCUGCAUUUGAAACUGUGUUUCUUGAGUACUGGAGAGGCAGACGGAAUUCCUAGUGUAGCGGUGAAAUGCGUAGAUAUUAGGAGGAACACCAGUGGCGAAGGCGGUCUGCUGGACAGCAACUGACGCUGAGGCGCGAAAGCGUGGGGAGCAAACAGGAGUAGAUACCCUUGUAGUC
Molecule: ribosomal RNA, 443 nt
Filed under: uncultured bacterium
Lineage: Bacteria
Description: partial 16S ribosomal RNA
Rfam family: Bacterial small subunit ribosomal RNA
Source: RNAcentral